CCUACGGGAGGCAGCAGUGAGGAAUAUUGGUCAAUGGACGAGAGUCUGAACCAGCCAAGUAGCGUGAAGGAUGACUGCCCUAUGGGUUGUAAACUUCUUUUAUAUGGGAAUAAAAUGUUCCACGUGUGGGAUUUUGUAUGUACCAUAUGAAUAAGGAUCGGCUAACUCCGUGCCAGCAGCCGCGGUAAUACGGAGGAUCCGAGCGUUGUCCGGAUUUAUUGGGUGUAAAGGGAGCGUAGGUGGAUUGUUAAGUCAGUUGUGAAAGUUUGCGGCUCAACCGUAAAAUUGCAGUUGAAACUGGCAGUCUUGAGUACAGGAGAGGUUGGCGGAAUUCGUGGUGUAGCGGUGAAAUGCUUAGAUAUAAGGAAGAACUCCGAUGGCGAAGGCAGCUGACUGGACUGCAACUGACACUGAGGCGCGAAAGUGUGGGGAUCAAACAGGAUUAGAUACCCCAGUAGUC
RNAcentral lists this ribosomal RNA (460 nucleotides) under uncultured bacterium. Its description in RNAcentral is "partial 16S ribosomal RNA". It matches the Rfam family "Bacterial small subunit ribosomal RNA", at positions 338 to 795 of the family's 1533-position model. The record is from RNAcentral.